GGGGGUGAUACUGGCUUCGACGGAGCUAUACGUUCUUUGAACUGCACACCGUGUUGCCGUAGACACGUAAAACGACGGUAAAAAAAGUAAAUGGCGAAUAUAAUUACGCUUUAGCUGCCUAAUUAAAAAAUGGCAGCCGUUCUUCAAGUCCCCUCGCGCCGGGAUUUGAAAGAACGCCGUUCAGGUGCGAUAGCCGAGCCGAGUGUCCGUGCAGGCAAGGCGAAUUUCUAACGGACUGGUUUCGGGAGGAUUUGUCUGUCAAUCCGACCGGAACGAGACAAAACAAAGACAGACUAUGUGUGUAGACGUUCACUGAAAUGUAGCUUCGGACCGGGGUUCGACUCCCCGCACCUCCACCA
Molecule: transfer-messenger RNA, 359 nt
Filed under: Melioribacter roseus
Lineage: Bacteria; Pseudomonadati; Ignavibacteriota; Ignavibacteria; Ignavibacteriales; Melioribacteraceae
Also listed under: 2 other names
Description: Standard tmRNA
Rfam family: transfer-messenger RNA
About the family: Bacterial tmRNA, also known as 10Sa RNA or SsrA, is named for its dual tRNA and mRNA-like properties. Its role is to liberate the mRNA from a stalled ribosome.
Source: RNAcentral